GAUCAUGGCUCAGAACGAGCGCUGGCGGCAGGCUUAACACAUGCAAGUUGAACGAGAGUGUUAGAUAGCUUGCUAUUUAGCAUGAAAGUAGCGCACUGGUGAGUAACACGUGGGAACGUACCUAUAGGUGGGGGAUAACGUUUGGAAACGAACGCUAAUACCGCAUACGCCCUGAGGGGGGAAAGAUUUAUUGCCGAUAGAUCGGCCCGCGGAAGAUUAGGUAGUUGGUGGGGUAAAGGCCUACCAAGCCGACG
Molecule: ribosomal RNA, 254 nt
Filed under: uncultured bacterium
Lineage: Bacteria
Description: partial 16S ribosomal RNA
Rfam family: Bacterial small subunit ribosomal RNA
Source: RNAcentral